This 78-nucleotide transfer RNA is filed under the name Nitratireductor sp. StC3. RNAcentral's name for it is "tRNA-Thr". The stretch from base 5 to 68 matches the Rfam family "tRNA", at positions 5 to 66 of the family's 71-position model. Rfam says of the family: Transfer RNA (tRNA) molecules are approximately 80 nucleotides in length. Their secondary structure includes four short double-helical elements and three loops (D, anti-codon, and T loops). Further hydrogen bonds mediate the characteristic L-shaped molecular structure. tRNAs have two regions of fundamental functional importance: the anti-codon, which is responsible for specific mRNA codon recognition, and the 3' end, to which the tRNAs corresponding amino acid is attached (by aminoacyl-tRNA synthetases). tRNAs cope with the degeneracy of the genetic code in two manners: having more than one tRNA (with a specific anti-codon) for a particular amino acid; and 'wobble' base-pairing, i.e. permitting non-standard base-pairing at the 3rd anti-codon position. The record is from RNAcentral. Lineage: Bacteria; Pseudomonadati; Pseudomonadota; Alphaproteobacteria; Hyphomicrobiales; Phyllobacteriaceae.
GCCGCUUUAGCUCAGUUGGUAGAGCACAUCAUUCGUAAUGAUGGGGUCGCGUGUUCGAGUCACGCAAGNUCGGCACCA